GCUCACCACGUGCCAGGCGCUUUGUAAGCCCUCUGCAUGGAUUAUCUCAAUCUCUAGUUGGUGAGAUGCUCUGCUGCUCUCUACACCAACCCUGUCCUCCCCUACUUCCAGCUCAGAUAAGAUGGCAGCCUCCCAGUUACCCCUAACCCCAGCUCCAGCAGCCAGCUCAGGCCCUGGGAAGUCAUGGGUGGCUCUUGAAUCAGCCCUUGCUCUGAGACACAGGUAUGCCAAUCUUCCUGCUGUCAACUAAAGAACAAAAUGCAUGCGUUAAACAUUUCUGAUUUCUCCAAACUUUAUUUCAAAAGGCUUCGUGUUCUAAGGAGAACUUGCUUUGUGCUGCAUGGAACACUCUGGUCUUGGCAAUUCUAAUGUGGCACGGUGGUGGCAGCAUUUUUGUCCCUGUUCUGCUGAAGGAGAGGCUCAGGGCACAGAAAGGGAAGAGGUGGCUUAAAGGUCAUUGCCUGCAUCAGGAGCCAAGCCAGGAAUAGAAAGUGACUGUCCAGGUCCCAGACUAAAUGGUGUCGUUGGUAACGUCCACUGAGCAGGCUCAUAUCCCUCACAUUCACAGGGCUACCUCUGAACUCUCUGGACCUCAGGAACUAGAAGGGCUGCAAGAAAAAUUGGUUUGAAGCAUUAUGAAGCCUCCCGGGCUCCCUAGAGCUUUCAGAACCAAGGCCCUUUGGAUCAGCUCACAGGACACAGGAGCUUCAGGAUCUGGUCAACUUCUCCAGGCUCAUCUUGUGCUAGACCCCCACCCACUGCCUUAGCUCCAGACAUUCUGGAUGACCAGCAGUUCCUUGAAUACACUGUGCUCUUCUUACCACUGUUCUGGUCUUUUUAGAUACUUUUGCCUGCCUCAACUGCCCAUUUCCCCUUCAUCAAGUUAAUUCGUCUAUGUCUUUCAAAACUCCACUUAAGCAUCCAGAGCCUUCCCUGACAUCUGCCCCCCCUCCCUGCUGCCCAUUAUGUGCUCCUCUGUGACUCCCCGGCAUUUUGUGCUCCACAUUUACAAGGCUGUCUCUCCCAUAGACUGGAUGCUUUUCGGAGACAGGGAUCACAUCUUAUUGGACAUUAUCUUCCCAUGAAGCCUAGCACAGAGAGAGAAAAUACCCAGCGAAUGUUGAAUAAAUUCCUCUUGGAUGACUGCUCAGCUCAGACCACCUGUGUCUAUAAACAUCCCUUGCACAAUGAGAUCUAGCCCUGGCAAACACACUGUGAUUAUGUCCCAGCCCCAGGCAGCGGGCAUUUUGCUUGCUCUUAUUAUGGACGCUGCACAUAGAAAACAAAACCAUGGGGCCAUCAGAGGAGGCAACCAGCUUCAGGGUAUGUAAGCAGGAAGAACUGAGAGACAAUGUCCAAACUUUUGGAGCAAGACAAUUAUUUUAAGCAUCUCCUAGCCACUGGGCAACUGUUUGAAAACUUCCAGGGUCUGGGAGCUGUCCACCCUGCUAGCUGACGUGAGCCCUGCUGAAACAGCUCUGAGUGAUGCCUCUCCUGCUGGGAUAUGACAACAGCUCUCAAGUUGCCUGGCACCCUCUGCUGCAGAUUAAGCUGCCUUCUGUCUUUCCUGAGAUGACUGAAAACCCUAGCCCCUGCUUAUGGAAAGACUGCCUCACCACUGGGGCCUGGAGCUGAGCCUAAGGUCACCUACUGGGAUGACCAGAGUGGAUUUAGGGUGACGGUCCUUCAGGAGUUGUCAUGGCCCACCUGGCAGUCAUCUCCUCACACUGCCACUCACUGAGGUCACCUUAGUAACCCCUCCACCUUGCCCUUUUCUCACGUCCCCACUCCCACCCUCGACUAUCUCCCCACAAUCAGCUGUCAAACAUGGCUCUUCCUACCUGGAA
Long non-coding RNA from Panthera uncia (snow leopard), 1847 nucleotides. RefSeq lists it as uncharacterized. Lineage: Eukaryota; Metazoa; Chordata; Mammalia; Carnivora; Felidae. The record is from RefSeq and is a predicted model, not a curated record. The transcript is spliced from 3 exons.